This 1894-nucleotide long non-coding RNA is filed under the name Monomorium pharaonis (pharaoh ant). Its description in RNAcentral is "uncharacterized LOC118644594". The record is from RNAcentral. Lineage: Eukaryota; Metazoa; Arthropoda; Insecta; Hymenoptera; Formicidae.
ACACAGGUCAAUCUUUUUAACAUUAAUAAUAUUUUGUGCAUGUAAUAUUACUUCAAGAAUCUCGAAAUAUUUGCUUCGAUAUAUAAUGAUCGUUGUUACAAAUAUUUAAUGGUAUGAACUAAUUCCGCUUGUGAUAUCAAAAAUAUAAGGUUGCAACAAAGCUCUAUGAAAUAAAGAAAACAAUAAAGUUUACUUAUCAGACAAUAUAUAAAAUGUAAAAUAGAUUAUUUGGCGUUUACUUAUUUCUACAAUAUCUAUGGCCAUGCCUAUAAUACCGAUGCAUAUUACACGUCAAAUAUUUUGGUAAAAAAACUUGCUCAAAUAUCCAUAUCCCUUUGCUUCACAGUGAUAGCCUGAUAUAUGGUCGGCAUUCGUUUUUUUUCUUUUCUAAGCGAAUUAAAGUUUGCAUAGAUGUUCAGAAGAAAUCUUCCCUCCCAUGGGUACGACCUUGUCGUGGUGGGAGGGCUCAGUACCCCGAGGGCUUGAAUGCCUAUGGGGGAAGCUAACUGUACCCAUUGCACCUAUUACGUCGUCGAUUGUAAAAUUGUGAUUCGUCGUGCCGCGUUAACGCGGUUCGGGAGUGCCGACCGAUUGAAUUGAAAACGAACCGUAGCCGGCUCGUCGCGUCGCGCGUUUGCUUCGGGAGUGCCGUUAACAAAAGGACUGAAAGGACUUUUUGCAUAACUCCCAUUAGAAUGAUUUCUUAGUUUGAGAGAUACUUUCGAGGGUGGCACUUUCGAGGUCUCGAUAGUAUGGGAUGCUCAUGGAGGCGUUGCUUCUUGCGACGUUCUCGCGCCAAGUGCGCUUCGCGUACGAGGUGAGUUAAGCUGGACCGAUGGACACGCCUAAACGCUGGUAAAACCGCAUGACGCUGUCAGUGAGAAACAGUGAGAAUUCUUAAUUACGAUCUUAAUACGAUUGUAAUUUUGUAUUCUUCUGCGCGGUGCUUGACGUUUCGUGUUAGUUCCGUUGUGGUCCGUACUCGUCGACUCAAGGUGCUGAUUCCACGGAGCAUUCUCCGAACUGGAAAUCAUAUCGUGGGAGUUAUAAACGUGGGGUGACGCAUUGGGAUGUCGCGCGAAAGACAUUUUGACGAUUAAUUAGUCCUCGCGCGAUUAUAACUUUAAUAAUCGCGAGUGUUUCUCGCGAGUGUUUUUCGCGAGUGUCUCGUGACAAAAAAGGACAGCCUGUUCUGAGAGGAGGAGGAGGUCCAGGAAGGGCAUCGGGCCCCGGCAGAGCAACCUUGGGAAUCAUCGUAGCGACGUUGCUGAAUAUCUCUGUCGCUGCGCAUCGGCCGGUGAGUGAUGAAUAAACUUUUAAAUUUGUAAUAGAUCUGUGACAAAAUUUUAUUUCAUUAUAUCAAAUAUAAUGUAGAAAUGUUUGCUAUAAUGCAAUAAUAAAUAAUAUUUAAAUGUCAUACUUAUUUCAUGGAUCUAUUGCUUCAAAAUCAGCUGCCUGUGGAGGAGCUGUUCCGCUUCUGGAAAGAAGCGCGGCUCCACUAAGGCAGCUGACAACGGGGAGGCACAAUGGACUCAUUGUCAGUCUGAGAUGCCAAAGUGGGCCUUGCAGGAGGACCACCCCCGAUGUUAUUAUUAUUAUUAUUAGAUACCAUCAUUUUGUAAACAUAUCUAAAGUUACAGUAAAUAGUUUUACAUAACAAAUGUUUGUCAUAGUAAUUUGAUAUAUUAAUUCUUUUCUCCGCAAUAGCAUUUCAGAUUUUUUAAUCUACUAUAAUAUAAAAUUCAAGAAAUGUUCUUUAAUAGAUUAAUUCAAGCUUCAAGGAAAAUAAACUAAUAACAUAAAGAAAAAAGUUGUGUAACUAUUUACGUUUUCUUAAUUUUUUUAUUCUACAAAGAAAUUGUAGAAAGUAUUAUCUCUGUAAUAUAAUCCUAUC